GCGGUCGUGGUCUAGUGGUAUGAUACCGCCUUGCCAAGGCGGAUACGCGGGUCCGAUUCCCGCCGACCGCA
RNAcentral lists this transfer RNA (71 nucleotides) under Microcaldota archaeon. RNAcentral describes it as "tRNA-Gly". It matches the Rfam family "tRNA". From Rfam's summary of the family: Transfer RNA (tRNA) molecules are approximately 80 nucleotides in length. Their secondary structure includes four short double-helical elements and three loops (D, anti-codon, and T loops). Further hydrogen bonds mediate the characteristic L-shaped molecular structure. tRNAs have two regions of fundamental functional importance: the anti-codon, which is responsible for specific mRNA codon recognition, and the 3' end, to which the tRNAs corresponding amino acid is attached (by aminoacyl-tRNA synthetases). tRNAs cope with the degeneracy of the genetic code in two manners: having more than one tRNA (with a specific anti-codon) for a particular amino acid; and 'wobble' base-pairing, i.e. permitting non-standard base-pairing at the 3rd anti-codon position. The record is from RNAcentral. Lineage: Archaea; Nanobdellati; Microcaldota.